This is a non-coding RNA of Pelobates cultripes (western spadefoot toad), 206 nucleotides long. Lineage: Eukaryota; Metazoa; Chordata; Amphibia; Anura; Pelobatidae. The record is from the annotation of a GenBank genome assembly.
CAUAUGAAUGCUCUCAAGCAUAUGAAUGUUGUAUACAGCCGAAUAGGAAAAACCAUGCGAAUAGGUUUACACUCCUAGCAGUCAAACUGGAACAGCAUACAAUAAAUCCUCCCCCAAUAAUGAGACGACACUUGACUUUGAGGGUUAAGCAGGAACUGACUGGACUGGCACAUACAGCCUCUUUUAUUCCCAAUCCACAAACUUAG